This is a long non-coding RNA of Topomyia yanbarensis, 1097 nucleotides long. RefSeq lists it as uncharacterized. Lineage: Eukaryota; Metazoa; Arthropoda; Insecta; Diptera; Culicidae. The record is from RefSeq and is a predicted model, not a curated record. The transcript has 3 exons.
UCUCCAAAUAGAUGUAUUAACACCGAUAGUGAUUCAACCAUCCCAACCGAAACAGCCACUAUGUCAGCGCCAGUCACCAAUAUUUCACAGCAGCAGCAGCAAAUUGAGACUCCACCAUCCGGUCGGUUGCAAUAACGUUCUAACGACGGUUCUGCCACAGGGUUUGACGUUAAUUCAGCAACCGCAAUUAGAUGACCAUUGGCUGAUAGCAGCAGCAACAACCACAAAAUAGAAUUAUCAUCACCCAGAUUCCGCAACAGUAGAUAUAGCAACGCCACACAAUAGCAAGGUGCUUUUUCUUUCGAACAAACAUUCGAUGCAUGCGCAAAUAGGCCAAUCGUGUGUUAUCCUCGGGUUUCUGGUAGGCAACUAGGAAAAUCCGCGGCCUAAUCUGUCACCAAUAAGCUGAACGAGAGCCAGGGAUAUGGUAUAGUUCUCCAGGCAGACGACAAUCAAGGUUUGGUGAAAUCGCAGAUUCCGGCAGUGAAAAGAAUUUAAUGAACAUUGAAAAAAAGUGUCGUAAGAUGGUAUAGUUGUUAAUGAUAUGAAGAAAUUAGUGGAAAUGAUUUGAAGCAAAAGCCGAUGACGGCAAUUAUGAAAUUCCGCAAAGGGGCUUCGAUAUGUUUACAAAAAUCCCGGUUUAUCUUUAAUCAUUUUUUUAACUAAAAAAACAUUUAUUUGAAACAUGGCUUCCAAAAUGCAUUUAAUGCAUUGUGUCGAAAGAAUGAUUCUCCUUGAUUUGUAACUAUUGUUCGUAGUACUCUCGACUUAAACAUUGGAGCCUCCACCAAAGGACGCAUCACCGCCUGUUCCAUUGCAGCAAUUUCAUCCAAAUCGAAAUCUUCUUCCUCGUCAUCAAUGCUGAUGCAUUCGGUCAUUUGGGGCUUUUGAUUCUCUUUUUGACUGUUGCUUGCUUUCUCGCACAUAAGAUCAAUUUCCACGAAGAUAAUUCAUCGUCGUCUUCAUCACCCCAAAGAUUAUUUGAAGACUUUUUUUUCAUUAGGUCCAAUCUGCAAAUGAGAGCCCUCUUUUUUCGCUUUCUCUUUCCAUUAUUACCGCGAAACCACAAAACUUUUUAAACAUUUAUCGGUAUGUUU